UACGUAGGGUGCAAGCGUUGUCCGGAAUUAUUGGGCGUAAAGAGCUCGUAGGCGGUCUGUUGCGUCGGCUGUGAAAACCCGGGGCUCAACCCCGGGCCUGCAGCCGAUACGGGCAGACUAGAGUUCGGCAGGGGAGACUGGAAUUCCUGGUGUAGCGGUGAAAUGCGUAGAGAUCUGGAGGAACACCGAUGGCGAAGGCAGCCUUCUGGGCCAACACUGACGCUCAUGCACGAAAGCGUGGGGAGCAAACAGG
Molecule: ribosomal RNA, 253 nt
Filed under: uncultured bacterium
Lineage: Bacteria
Description: partial 16S ribosomal RNA
Rfam family: Bacterial small subunit ribosomal RNA
Source: RNAcentral